AAAAUGCAAAACAAGCUCACAUAAAAGGUCUCACGCUGUAAUGGCUUCUGGUUCGCUUGGAUCUUCUGCAGAUCAGUGUCAUGGUGCUAGUCCAGCGGUGCUCUGGCUUCCCAUUGAUCUUUUUCUAGAAGAUAUCAUGGACGGGUCACAAGUAGCAGUUACAAGUGCUGCUGAAACACUCACUGGUUUAGUGAAGGCUCUGCAGGCAGUUAACUCUUCACCUUGGAAGGACACUUUCCUUGGGUUAUGGAUUGCAGCCCUAAGGCUUGUUAAUAGAGAACGGGAUUCAAGUGAGGGACCAGUACCUCGCUUGGAUACUUGCUUAUGUGUGUUGUUGUCUAUAACACCACUAGCAAUAGUGAAUCUUCUUGAAGAGGAGGAGAUGAAUUGCAGCUCUACCAAUCAAAGGAAAGAGUCAU
RNAcentral lists this unclassified non-coding RNA (419 nucleotides) under Hevea brasiliensis (rubber tree). The record is from RNAcentral. Lineage: Eukaryota; Viridiplantae; Streptophyta; Magnoliopsida; Malpighiales; Euphorbiaceae.